Molecule: ribosomal RNA, 396 nt
Filed under: Triticum aestivum (bread wheat)
Lineage: Eukaryota; Viridiplantae; Streptophyta; Magnoliopsida; Poales; Poaceae
Description: partial small subunit ribosomal RNA
Source: RNAcentral
AUGUGGAACAAAAGACAUGGUAUAAAAAGGAAAGCAAAGACUAAACAGUACAAUGAUGCAGGUUCAGAUGAUGGCUACAGAUAUGGACACCUGUAUACAUAUGGGAUGUUUCCUCCGUCAAUGCCGUCCUUUAAUCCAGUUAAUGAUGCUGAAGUUUUCAAUGGCUUUGGCACCGCAUACAUAUGGGAUGUUUCCUCCGUCAAUGGCUCAAUGCUGUCCUUUAAUCCAGUUAAUGAUGCUGAAGUUUUUAAUGGCUUUGGCAUGCAAAGCCAUCCAAAUGUGGAAAAUAGAUCUCUUGGUUGCAAUGAGGGAGUUGUAUAUGAAGAAGCUCUACAGGUAUAUAAUGUUACGAGUCACUGUAGAAAUAGUAUAUGCUUAAUUGCCUGGUUACUUUGA